ACGGGUGAGUAACACGUAGGCAACCUGCCCUCAAGUUUGGGACAACUACCGGAAACGGUAGCUAAUACCGAAUAGUUGUUUUCUUCGCCUGAAGGAAACUGGAAAGACGGAGCAAUCUGUCACUUGGGGAUGGGCCUGCGGCGCAUUAGCUAGUUGGUGGGGUAACGGCUCACCAAGGCGACGAUGCGUAGCCGACCUGAGAGGGUGAUCGGCCACACUGGGACUGAGACACGGCCCAGACUCCUACGGGAGGCAGCAGUAGGGAAUCUUCCGCAAUGGGCGAAAGCCUGACGGAGCAAUGCCGCGUGAGUGAUGAAGGUUUUCGGAUCGUAAAGCUCUGUUGCCAGGGAAGAACGCUUGGGAGAGUAACUGCUCUCAAGGUGACGGUACCUGAGAAGAAAGCCCCGGCUAACUACGUGCCAGCAGCCGCGGUAAUACGUAGGGGGCAAGCGUUGUCCGGAAUUAUUGGGCGUAAAGCGCGCGCAGGCGGUCAUUUAAGUCUGGUGUUUAAUCCCGGGGCUCAACCCCGGAUCGCACUGGAAACUGGGUGACUUGAGUGCAGAAGAGGAGAGUGGAAUUC
RNAcentral lists this ribosomal RNA (580 nucleotides) under uncultured bacterium. RNAcentral describes it as "bacterial SSU rRNA". It matches the Rfam family "Bacterial small subunit ribosomal RNA", at positions 102 to 669 of the family's 1533-position model. The record is from RNAcentral.